Carassius carassius (crucian carp) is the source of this 1104-nucleotide long non-coding RNA. RefSeq lists it as uncharacterized. The record is from RefSeq and is a predicted model, not a curated record. The transcript has 3 exons. NCBI's taxonomy places the organism in Eukaryota, Metazoa, Chordata, Actinopteri, Cypriniformes, Cyprinidae.
AUGGCUCGCAAAGUACUGGAGAACUGUUUGCUGGAGGGGGUUAGAAGUUUAUUCUCAUUAGAUUCAGGACCUCAAAUGAACUAACGUCAUGACGAGAGGCAGACUCCAGACAUCAUAUCGGCUCCUGAUAGGACCUGUCUGGCCCACAAAAGAGAAAGGAUAUGGGUGAAGAUUAGAGAGGCGGGGUUGGCAGACCUCAGCUGCUACAGCGUCAGCGUGACCCGGCACUAGAGAAUUCCCUUCAUCUUCUCCAUCUAAAACACUCACCACACACACUCUACCUGGUAGAGCCAUCUGUUUUGAUUGGUCAAAAGCUGCACUUUACAGUAAUGUAUCCAGUUUAGCUCCACAGAGUGUGAUAGCCAAGGGCAACAGUUAUUUUUGAACUUCAGUCAGUAGAACUUUCUGUGCUCAAAAUCAACUCAGCGGCACCUCUGAAAUGAACCACACGAUGACAUUUAAAUUUCCAUGGAUCCUCUGCCAGAGUGAUGAGCCGGCAAACGAUACAGAGGACUACUUCCUGUCUCCACUAGCUUCCUCCAAAUACUCACUCAUAUUGUGACUGCUGUGUGGUUUAAUGCUCAGUAAUGGAGAGAACAUCCCACUGGUGCAGGUUACCAGUUCUCAGUGGCUCUGGGAGGGGAGAAGAACAGAGAUGAUUUACACAGCUCAUCCCUCAGACACCGCCAGCAGUGAGUCACAAAAUCUUUGCUCGUAUGAGUCAGUGGAACAAGGUCGCCGCUCAUCCAGACGAGCGAAUGUGGAAAGCGACCAGGAAGAGAAACAAACAACGGAGCAAGUUGUCCUCCGAUAACUAUCCAUAAAACAUUUUCCAUCUGAACAGGGCGUGUUUAUGUUUAUCUAAGAUAAAAUGGGGGAAGCUUUUAAAGGUUAGAGAGAUGCAGGCAAUGGAGUGCGAUAGUUGGAAAAUCCCAUUCGUUUUCUCUGUAGAGAAAUAGCUUUUUAAUGAUAAUGUUCAAACCUUUCAAGAAAGUAAUUCCAUGAAAGAUGGCAUGAAAGCGAAGAUAUAUCCUAGAAGCCAUGAGUCAGUGUGAUUGCAUUAUAUAACAUCAAACAAUAUAAUGUAUGUCUAAUUUAAUAUGU